CUGAUUGCUAAUGACUCAACACUUGAAUCUUCACCUCUUAGACAAAGAUCUUACGGCGUCCAGGUCUCUAUACCAACCAAACACAUCAGCUUCUCUGGCUGCUCAGCAAAAUCUUUAUAAAGCAAAACAAUCCCUCCUAGACCAGAUGAUGAAUGAUGAAUGUGCUGCAAAGUGAUACAGAGCUUUCCCUCCAGGGAUGUUCCACACAGAAUGAGCACAAUGUAUGGGUAAUUGUUCAGUUGAAGUAACUGUACUCUGACAAUAUUAAAACACUUUUUUUUUCCA
Molecule: long non-coding RNA, 285 nt
Organism: Rhea pennata
Lineage: Eukaryota; Metazoa; Chordata; Aves; Rheiformes; Rheidae
Exons: 2
Source: RefSeq, a predicted model, not a curated record